AGAAAAUAAUACUCUCAUAUUCUACCCUAAGGUACAAAUUUCUCCCUUUUCUUUUAAGAGUGAACUAUAAAAUGAUGCAAAUAUUCGUGCGCCAUGCAAAUACUCUCGCGCUAAAAUAUUUUAUAAAUAUGAAGCCAAAAUAUGUUAUGUAAUUUAUAAAUAAAUUUUGUAUGAGAUUUUUAAGAUUAAAAAGAUCAAUCAACAUGUGCCGAUUCAACAUGUGCCGAUUCAACAUGUACCGAUUCAACAUGUGCCGAUACUCGUUCACCAUUUAGUUUUACAAGUUUGAAUUUUUUUUUUUUGUGUCGAUUCACUAUUAUCACUAUUAUAUAUUACGAAUGAUACGCACGCACAUUUUCGAACACAGCAUAAAAUUAAUCUUUUAAAAAAAGGUAAUGCAGAUGAACCGAAUAAUAUUACGUCUACAUCAAUGAACAUAAACACAUUUACGAAUUUGAUUAACAAAAGUUUAUCAAAAGUAUUAAAAUGCUUCUGAAAAUCAGGUGAUGAUUCGUUUAGUGCGAUUAAGAGCUAAAGAAGGAUAUCAUUGUUAAGUAAAAUAUGCCAAAUUAUCUUAGCCAAACUUAGAGCGCGAACUAUUCAAGGUGAAGAGUUUAGCAUCACAUUAGUUGAGUAGACUAAAAAACCGUCGUUAUGACGUCGUUGUGAAGUUGUUCGUUAUAAUCUGUUAUAUGAAUGUAAAUGUGUUCUGCUAGAAGUCAUGCUAAAGGGCAGAGGUUAAAUCAACUUAUCUAGAACAAGAUCAUUUUUCGAACGACGACAAAGAAGAUGUAGGUAGUUUAGAGCAAUUAUCCGAAAAGAAUUUUUAUCUGUUUAUUAGGCAUGCAAAUAUUUGUUCACUGAUAGAAAAGAUUUGCAAAAUUAUUAAAAUAUCGCCGACGAAAAAUGAUGAAACACUACAGAAAAUUAUCAAAGGAGAACUAAGUAAGGAAUUUUUAUUUGUUUUGGACUCGACGGAGUAGCCUACUAACAAUGUUGGAGCGUUUUUAUAAAGUUAGAAAUUCUAUACGAAAAUGAUAUAGAGAUAACAAUUAAAUCACGAAGCAAAAAAUAUUAGUUUAUUAUCAAACAUAAUUUCAGACUUUAAAGGUUGCUGUAGAGACAUUUUGUUGCGAAGAUGUUAAUCUUUACACAGCUGGUAUAACAUUACAGUUUAUGUUAAACGAACUCAGCAAAACACAUUAUUUAGCAACUUUAAAAUGAAUUAGUACUACGAACAAAGGAAAGACGAAGUUUUAAUUCAGAUGUUUUUUUUCUUAAUGAACAAUUUGAAUAACAAUAGCAGUAAAUUUAACGAUUAUGAAAAAUUUAAUAAAAUCAUUUUAACAAUGGAUGAAGUUAAAGUUAUAAA
Hydra vulgaris (swiftwater hydra) is the source of this 1372-nucleotide non-coding RNA. The record is from RefSeq and is a predicted model, not a curated record. NCBI's taxonomy places the organism in Eukaryota, Metazoa, Cnidaria, Hydrozoa, Anthoathecata, Hydridae.